AGAACGAACGCUGGCGGCGUGCUUAACACAUGCAAGUCGUACGAGAAACCGGAACUUCGGUUCCGGGAGUAAAGUGGCGCACGGGUGAGUAACGCGUAGGUAAUCUACCCUUGGGUUUGGAAUAACCCGCCGAAAGGCGUGCUAAUACCGGAUAAAAUCUUUCGGAGGGAUCUGAAAGAUCAAAGGUGGCCUCUCCAUGGAUGCUACUGCCUGAGGAUGAGCCUGCGUCCCAUUAGCUUGUUGGUAGGGUAAUGGCCUACCAAGGCUACGAUGGGUAGCUGGUCUGAGAGGAUGAUCAGUCACACUGGAACUGGAGCACGGUCCAGACUCCUACGGGAGGCAGCAGUGAGGAAUAUUGCGCAAUGGAGGAAACUCUGACGCAGCGACGCCGCGUGGGUGAAGAAGGCCUUCGGGUCGUAAAACCCUGUUAAGAGGGAAGAAAUUCUCAAUGGAAUAAUACCCAUUGAGAUUGACGGUACCUCUUGAGGAAGCAC
RNAcentral lists this ribosomal RNA (494 nucleotides) under uncultured bacterium. Its description in RNAcentral is "bacterial SSU rRNA". It matches the Rfam family "Bacterial small subunit ribosomal RNA", at positions 26 to 493 of the family's 1533-position model. The record is from RNAcentral.